UUAAUUGAAGAGUUUGAUCAUGGCUCAGAUUGAACGCUGGCGGCAGGCUUAACACAUGCAAGUCGAGCGGUAGCACAGGGGAGCUUGCUCCCUGGGUGACGAGCGGCGGACGGGUGAGUAAUGUCUGGGAAACUGCCUGAUGGAGGGGGAUAACUACUGGAAACGGUAGCUAAUACCGCAUAACGUCGCAAGACCAAAGAGGGGGGACCUUCGGGCCUCUUGCCAUCAGAUGUGCCCAGAUGGGAUUAGCUAGUAGGUGGGGUAAUGGCUCACCUAGGCGACGAUCCCUAGCUGGUCUGAGAGGAUGACCAGCCACACUGGAACUGAGACACGGUCCAGACUCCUACGGGAGGCAGCAGUGGGGAAUAUUGCACAAUGGGCGCAAGCCUGAUGCAGCCAUGCCGCGUGUGUGAAGAAGGCCUUCGGGUUGUAAAGCACUUUCAGCGAGGAGGAAGGUGGUGAGCUUAAUACGUUCAUCAAUUGACGUUACUCGCAGAAGAAGCACCGGCUAACUCCGUGCCAGCAGCCGCGGUAAUACGGAGGGUGCAAGCGUUAAUCGGAAUUACUGGGCGUAAAGCGCACGCAGGCGGUUUGUUAAGUCAGAUGUGAAAUCCCCGGGCUCAACCUGGGAACUGCAUUUGAAACUGGCAAGCUAGAGUCUCGUAGAGGGGGGUAGAAUUCCAGGUGUAGCGGUGAAAUGCGUAGAGAUCUGGAGGAAUACCGGUGGCGAAGGCGGCCCCCUGGACGAAGACUGACGCUCAGGUGCGAAAGCGUGGGGAGCAAACAGGAUUAGAUACCCUGGUAGUCCACGCUGUAAACGAUGUCGAUUUGGAGGUUGUGCCCUUGAGGCGUGGCUUCCGGAGCUAACGCGUUAAAUCGACCGCCUGGGGAGUACGGCCGCAAGGUUAAAACUCAAAUGAAUUGACGGGGGCCCGCACAAGCGGUGGAGCAUGUGGUUUAAUUCGAUGCAACGCGAAGAACCUUACCUACUCUUGACAUCCAGAGAACUUUCCAGAGAUGGAUUGGUGCCUUCGGGAACUCUGAGACAGGUGCUGCAUGGCUGUCGUCAGCUCGUGUUGUGAAAUGUUGGGUUAAGUCCCGCAACGAGCGCAACCCUUAUCCUUUGUUGCCAGCGGUUCGGCCGGGAACUCAAAGGAGACUGCCAGUGAUAAACUGGAGGAAGGUGGGGAUGACGUCAAGUCAUCAUGGCCCUUACGAGUAGGGCUACACACGUGCUACAAUGGCAUAUACAAAGAGAAGCGACCUCGCGAGAGCAAGCGGACCUCAUAAAGUAUGUCGUAGUCCGGAUUGGAGUCUGCAACUCGACUCCAUGAAGUCGGAAUCGCUAGUAAUCGUAGAUCAGAAUGCUACGGUGAAUACGUUCCCGGGCCUUGUACACACCGCCCGUCACACCAUGGGAGUGGGUUGCAAAAGAAGUAGGUAGCUUAACCUUCGGGAGGGCGCUUACCACUUUGUGAUUCAUGACUGGGGUGAAGUCGUAACAAGGUAACCGUAGGGGAACCUGCGGUUGGAUCACCUCCUUACCUAAAGA
Molecule: ribosomal RNA, 1552 nt
Filed under: Serratia marcescens subsp. marcescens ATCC 13880
Lineage: Bacteria; Pseudomonadati; Pseudomonadota; Gammaproteobacteria; Enterobacterales; Yersiniaceae
Description: bacterial SSU rRNA
Rfam family: Bacterial small subunit ribosomal RNA
Source: RNAcentral